This 938-nucleotide ribosomal RNA is filed under the name uncultured Verrucomicrobiota bacterium. Its description in RNAcentral is "bacterial SSU rRNA". It matches the Rfam family "Bacterial small subunit ribosomal RNA", at positions 574 to 1501 of the family's 1533-position model. The record is from RNAcentral. Lineage: Bacteria; Pseudomonadati; Verrucomicrobiota.
GGUGGUGACGUAAGUCGGAUGUGAAAUCUCGGAGCUCAACUCCGAAACGGCAUUGGAAACUGCGUUGCUAGAGGGUUGGAGGGGGGACUGGAAUGCUUGGUGUAGCAGUGAAAUGCGUAGAUAUCAAGCGGAACACCAGUGGCGAAGGCGAGUCCCUGGACAACACCUGACACUGAGGCACGAAAGCUAGGGGAGCAAACAGGAUUAGAUACCCUGGUAGUCCUAGCCGUAAACGGUGCUUGCUUGCUGUAAAAGGAAUCGACCCCUUUUGUGGCGGAGCCAACGCGUUAAGCAAGCCGCCUGGGAAGUACGGUCGCAAGAUUAAAACUCAAAGAAAUUGACGGGGGCCUGCACAAGCGGUGGAGUAUGUGGCUCAAUUCGAUGCAACGCGAAGAACCUUACCUGGCCUUGACAUGCACAUAGUAGAAGGGUGAAAGCCUGACGAGGUAGCAAUACCAGUGUGCACAGGUGCUGCAUGGCUGUCGUCAGCUCGUGUCGUGAGAUGUUGGGUUAAGCCCCGCAACGAGCGCAACCCCUGUGUCCUGUUGCCCCCCGGCCGAAAGGCUGGAGCACUCUGGACAGACUGCCUCGCUUAAACGAGGAGGAAGGUGGGGAUGACGUCAAGUCAGUAUGGCCCUUACGGCCAGGGCUGCACACGUACUACAAUGCCCGGCACAAAGGGAAGCGAGACUGUAAAGUGGAGCAAAUCCCCAAAAACCGGGCCCAGUUCAGAUUGUCGUCUGCAACUCGACGGCAUGAAGCUGGAAUCGCUAGUAAUGGCGCAUCAGCUACGGCGCCGUGAAUACGUUCCCAGGCCUUGUACACACCGCCCGUCACAUCAUGAAAGCCGUUUGUACCCGAAGUCACUGUAUCAACCGCAAGGGGAGAGGUGCCGAAGGUAUGGAUGGUGAUUGGGAUGAAGUCGUAACAAGGUAACC